Molecule: long non-coding RNA, 655 nt
Organism: Portunus trituberculatus (swimming crab)
Lineage: Eukaryota; Metazoa; Arthropoda; Malacostraca; Decapoda; Portunidae
Exons: 3
Source: RefSeq, a predicted model, not a curated record
UGACACAAGAGUUGGGAAAUGAUAGAUAGCAAAGGGAUCUUGUGAACCAAAUCUGACAAAAGUACUGCCCUUGGUGACAACCCAAGGCUGCUUAGGUGGAUUCUAUUCUGGUUGUAACAUGAAUUCUGAAGCAGUAAUUCUCAAAGCUCGCUGGAAUUGGCGGUAAUGCUGAAGGUAAAUCUGAAGGAUGCUUGCGGUCGUGUGUGUGAUGCUGCCGGACUCUUGCACUCGGCAGCACAUGUUGCCCAGCAUCUCUUCCAGCACAUCCUUAAUCUGCAGGAAAAACACUACAAAACAACAACCAAACAACUGCAAUCAACACUCGAGGCACUGAAGCAGCGUGGUGCCCCAACAUGCAGUCAGCUGAUAGCGCAGUGCUGCACGCAAUCUGUUGACCGCGUUUGUUAUUGUUCGCACUCCAAAGCAAAAUUCGUCCUCCAAUGCAAAUAAAAAAAAAACACAAUUUUUUUGUUUGUAAUCCAAGUUGUUCAUACUCAAAAGCGUUCGUACUCCAAGGUACCACUGGUUUGUCCAGUACAGAUGGUAUGCAGACGCAACCAACACGUAACGCUGCAGCACAAGCAUGAAAAAGAUGGCAACACUUUGAUCAAGAUUGAAAACCAAGACUACAUAAGUGGAACAUUAGGGAAAAAAA